RNAcentral lists this transfer RNA (71 nucleotides) under Marmota marmota marmota (Alpine marmot). It matches the Rfam family "tRNA". From Rfam's summary of the family: Transfer RNA (tRNA) molecules are approximately 80 nucleotides in length. Their secondary structure includes four short double-helical elements and three loops (D, anti-codon, and T loops). RNAcentral also lists the same sequence under 2 other names. Lineage: Eukaryota; Metazoa; Chordata; Mammalia; Rodentia; Sciuridae. The record is from Rfam by way of RNAcentral.
GCAUGUAGCUCAGUGGCAGAGCACUUGCCUAGCAUGCACAAGGCCCUGGGUUUGCUUCCCAGCACCAUGCA